Transfer RNA from Sclerotinia borealis F-4128, 95 nucleotides. It matches the Rfam family "tRNA". From Rfam's summary of the family: Transfer RNA (tRNA) molecules are approximately 80 nucleotides in length. Their secondary structure includes four short double-helical elements and three loops (D, anti-codon, and T loops). Further hydrogen bonds mediate the characteristic L-shaped molecular structure. tRNAs have two regions of fundamental functional importance: the anti-codon, which is responsible for specific mRNA codon recognition, and the 3' end, to which the tRNAs corresponding amino acid is attached (by aminoacyl-tRNA synthetases). tRNAs cope with the degeneracy of the genetic code in two manners: having more than one tRNA (with a specific anti-codon) for a particular amino acid; and 'wobble' base-pairing, i.e. permitting non-standard base-pairing at the 3rd anti-codon position. The record is from Rfam. Lineage: Eukaryota; Fungi; Ascomycota; Leotiomycetes; Helotiales; Sclerotiniaceae.
GCCCGGCUGGCACAAUUGGUUAGCGCGUGGGCCUUUUAAGCUAGUAUCUAGUCUAUGAAAGCCCAAGGUUGAGAGUUCAAGCCUCUCGUCGGGCG